This 484-nucleotide ribosomal RNA is filed under the name uncultured bacterium. RNAcentral's name for it is "partial 16S ribosomal RNA". It matches the Rfam family "Bacterial small subunit ribosomal RNA", at positions 30 to 507 of the family's 1533-position model. The record is from RNAcentral.
AUUGAACGCUGGCGGCAGGCCUAACACAUGCAAGUCGAGCGGAUGAAGGGAGCUUGCUCCUGGAUUCAGCGGCGGACGGGUGAGUAAUGCCUAGGAAUCUGCCUGGUAGUGGGGGAUAACGUCCGGAAACGGGCGCUAAUACCGCAUACGUCCUGAGGGAGAAAGUGGGGGAUCUUCGGACCUCACGCUCUCAGAUGAGCCUAGGUCGGAUUAGCUAGUUGGUGGGGUAAAGGUCUACCAAGGCGACGAUCCGUAACUGGUCUGAGAGGAUGAUCAGUCACACUGGAACUGAGACACGGUCCAGACUCCUACGGGAGGCAGCAGUGGGGAAUAUUGGACAAUGGGCGAAAGCCUGAUCCAGCCAUGCCGCGUGUGUGAAGAAGGUCUUCGGAUUGUAAAGCACUUUAAGUUGGGAGGAAGGGCAGUAAGUUAAUACCUUGCUGUUUUGACGUUACCAACAGAAUAAGCACCGGCUAACUUCGUG